UUGCACGCUGGCGGCAUGCCUUACCCCUGCCAGUCGAACGGCAGCACGGGUGCUUGCACCUGGUGGCGAGUGGCGAACGGGUGAGUAAUACAUCGGAACAUGUCCUGUAGUGGGGGAUAGCCCGGCGAAAGCCGGAUUAAUACCGCAUACGAUCUACGGAUGAAAGCGGGGGACCUUCGGGCCUCGCGCUAUAGGGUUGGCCGAUGGCUGAUUAGCUAGUUGGUGGGGUAAAGGCCUACCAAGGCGACGAUCAGUAGCUGGUCUGAGAGGACGACCAGCCACACUGGGACUGAGACACGGCCCAGACUCCUACGGGAGGCAGCAGUGGGGAAUUUUGGACAAUGGGCGAAAGCCUGAUCCAGCAAUGCCGCGUGUGUGAAGAAGGCCUUCGGGUUGUAAAGCACUUUUGUCCGGAAAGAAAUCCUUGGCUCUAAUACAGUCGGGGGAUGACGGUACCGGAAGAAUAAGCACCGGCUAACUACGUG
Molecule: ribosomal RNA, 485 nt
Filed under: uncultured bacterium
Lineage: Bacteria
Description: partial 16S ribosomal RNA
Rfam family: Bacterial small subunit ribosomal RNA
Source: RNAcentral